Molecule: RNase P RNA, 275 nt
Filed under: Rhizobiales bacterium 35-68-8
Lineage: Bacteria; Pseudomonadati; Pseudomonadota; Alphaproteobacteria; Hyphomicrobiales
Description: partial RNase P RNA component class A
Rfam family: Bacterial RNase P class A
About the family: Ribonuclease P (RNase P) is a ubiquitous endoribonuclease, found in archaea, bacteria and eukarya as well as chloroplasts and mitochondria.
Source: RNAcentral
GGAAAGUGCCACAGAAAUCAAACCACCCGCGCGUGCGCGGGCCAGGGUGAAACGGUGGGGUAAGAGCCCACCGCGCGACCGGCAACGGAAGCGGCACGGCAAACCCCACCGGGAGCAAAGUCGAAUAGGGACGGCCUCUUUCGGGAAAGCCCUGUCUUCGGGCCGCCGUCCGGGUUGACUGCUUGAGGCGCCGGGUAACCGGCGUCCCAGAUGAAUGGCCGCCGCGCGGGAGCAAUCCCGCCGUACAGAACCCGGCUUACAGGCCGGCUGGUAAC